GACGAACGCUGGCGGCGUGCUUAACACAUGCAAGUCGAACGGAAAGGCCCUGCUUUUGCGGGGUGCUCGAGUGGCGAACGGGUGAGUAACACGUGAGUAACCUGCCCUUGACUUUGGGAUAACUUCAGGAAACUGGGGCUAAUACCGGAUAGGAGCUCCUGCUGCAUGGUGGGGGUCGGAAAGUUUCGGCGGUUGGGGAUGGACUUGGGGCUUAUUAGCUUGUUGGUGGGGUAGUGGCUUACCAAGGCAUCGACGGGUAGCCGGCCUGAGAGGGUGGCCGGGCACAUGGGGACUGAGAUACGCAGCAGACUCCUACGGGAGGCAGCAGUGGGGAAUAUUGCACAGUGGGCGGAAGCGUGAUGCGGAAACGCCGCGUGCGGGAUGACGGCCUUCGGGUUGGAAACCGCUUUCGCCUGUGACGAAGCGUGAGUGACGGUAAUGGGUAAAGAAGCACCGGCUAACUACGUG
Molecule: ribosomal RNA, 468 nt
Filed under: uncultured bacterium
Lineage: Bacteria
Description: partial 16S ribosomal RNA
Rfam family: Bacterial small subunit ribosomal RNA
Source: RNAcentral